Molecule: ribosomal RNA, 389 nt
Filed under: Pyramimonadales sp.
Lineage: Eukaryota; Viridiplantae; Chlorophyta; Pyramimonadophyceae; Pyramimonadales
Description: partial small subunit ribosomal RNA
Rfam family: Eukaryotic small subunit ribosomal RNA
Source: RNAcentral
AUUCCAGCUCCAAUAGCGUAUAUCUAAGUUGUUGCAGUUAAAAAGCUCGUAGUUGGAUUUCGGGUGAGGAUGACCGGUCUGCCGUUGCGGUACGCACUGGACGUUUUCAUCUUGUUGUCGGGGACGCGCUUCUGGGCUUCACUGUUCGGGACGCGGAGUCGGCGCUGUUACUUUGAAAAAAUUAGAGUGUUCAAAGCAGGCAAUCGCUCUGAAUACAUUAGCAUGGAAUAACGCUAUAGGACUCUGGUCCUAUUGUGUUGGUCUUCGGGACCGGAGUAAUGAUUAAGAGGGACAGUUGGGGGCAUUCGUAUUUCAUUGUCAGAGGUGAAAUUCUUGGAUUUAUGAAAGACGAACUUCUGCGAAAGCAUUUGCCAAGGAUGUUUUCAUCA